CCUACGGGGUGCAGCAGUGGGGAAUAUUGGGCAAUGGGCGCAAGCCUGACCCAGCAACGCCGCGUGAAGGAAGAAGGCUUUCGGGUUGUUAACUUCUUUUCUCAGGGACGAAGAAAGUGACGGUACCUGAGGAAUAAGCCACGGCUAACUACGUGCCAGCAGCCACGGUAAUACGUAGGUGGCAAGCGUUAUCCGGAUUUCCUGGGUGUAAAGGGUGUGUAGGCGGGACUGCAAGUCAGAUGUGAAAACCACGGGCUCAACCUGUGGCCUGCAUUUGACACUGUAGUUCUUGAGUACUGGAGAGGGAGACGGAAUUCCUGGUGUAGCGGUGAAAUGCGUAGAGAUUAGGAGGAACACCAGUGGCGAAGGCAGUCUGCUGGACAGCAACUGACGCUGAGGCGCGAAAGCGUGGGGAGCAAACAGGAUUAGAUACCCGAGUAGUC
Molecule: ribosomal RNA, 443 nt
Filed under: uncultured bacterium
Lineage: Bacteria
Description: partial 16S ribosomal RNA
Rfam family: Bacterial small subunit ribosomal RNA
Source: RNAcentral